AUUGAACGCUGGCGGCAGGCCUAACACAUGCAAGUCGAACGAGUGGCGGACGGGUGAGUAAUGUCUGGGAAACUGCCCGUUGGAGGGGGGUAACUACUGGAAAGGGUAGCUAAUACCGCAUACUAUCGGAGGUGCCGAGAUGGGAUUAGCUAGUUGGUGGGGUAAAGGCUCACCAAGGCGAAGAUCCAUAGCUGGUUUGAGAGGAGGACCAUCCACAGUGGAACGGAAACACGGCCCAGACGCAUACGGGAGGCAGCAGGGGGGAAUAUUGCACAAUGGGAGCAAGCCUGAUGCAGCCAUGCCGCGUGUAUGAAGAAGGCCCUAGGGUUGUAAAGUACUUUCAGCGGGGAGGCGUUACUCACAGAAGAAGCACCGGCUAACGCCGUGCCAGCAGCCGCGGUAAUAC
RNAcentral lists this ribosomal RNA (406 nucleotides) under uncultured bacterium. Its description in RNAcentral is "partial 16S ribosomal RNA". It matches the Rfam family "Bacterial small subunit ribosomal RNA", at positions 29 to 526 of the family's 1533-position model. The record is from RNAcentral.